This 331-nucleotide long non-coding RNA is filed under the name Homo sapiens (human). RNAcentral's name for it is "HSALNT0312062". Lineage: Eukaryota; Metazoa; Chordata; Mammalia; Primates; Hominidae. The record is from RNAcentral.
UGACCACUGUUUUGCAAACAGCAAUUUCAAGGGCAGGAUCACUGAGAAGGAAACAUUUGAUUGAAAGCCUGAAGGCAGUGAGGAACUGAGCUACAUGGCUACAUGGGGAGAAGAACACUCCAGGAAGGGAGAAAAGCCAGUGCAGAGGGACUCUGCCUGGUUUAAAGAGAAAUGGUUGGAGUGAAGUAAGCAGGAGGGAAAACAGAAGGAAAAGAUCAACUGUCCAAAACUUCCCAGGAUUGAGGGGGGGAAAAAAUCAGCUUUUGGAAAAUGAAUCUGUUUUCUGCCAGCCUAUUCUCCUUCGUAAGGAUCCCAGUCCCCUGUGAAAAAG